This 1450-nucleotide long non-coding RNA is filed under the name Marmota monax (woodchuck). The record is from RNAcentral. Lineage: Eukaryota; Metazoa; Chordata; Mammalia; Rodentia; Sciuridae.
UAUGACAUUCAGAUUAUUUUUAAUCUUUGAACAAGAACCAUGUAUUGGUCUCAGGAUUUGUGUUAUUUGUUUGGAAAGGUCUCAUUCUAUAUUGAAUCUAGAUUCAUUUACCAUGACUGAGAUGUCACAGUGGGAGGCCAGUAAAAGUUAGGACUUUUUAAUUUUAAUUUUUUUUAAUGACAGUGAAGAAAGACCAGAAUUUGGGGCGGUGGGGGGUACUGAGGAUUGAACUCAGGGACACCACUGAGCUACAUCUCCAGCUCUAUUUUAUAUUUAGAGACAGGGUCUCCCGAGUUGCUAAUAAGCACCUCACUGUUGCUAAAGCUGGCUUUGAACUCUGGAUCCUCCUGACUCAGCCUUAAGCCACUGGGUUUACAGGAAUGCACCACCAUGCCUGGCAAGACCAGACCUUAAUGCUAAUUUUUUAGGGGCCUGGAAUCAAAGGGGAUGAUGGUUAGGUAUUUCAGUUUUCUGAAUGAAAUUCAUCAGGGUUGAGGAAAGGUGCCAUGGAGAUGUAAGUUUUUUUUAAAACCAAGUUUACUCAUGAUUUCUGUUACACAUAGACGUUUAUUGCCCAAUAUGUCUGUGUUGUUAUAAUAUUUACCUAAGAUCCUUUACUUCCUCUUUUUCUGUUCAACUCUGGGACUAACACUGUGAACCCUAAAAACAAAACAAAAAUGCUAAACAGCUGUUUUUGUUUGGUUAUGCAUUAAACCUAGGGUUGUGAGCAUGCUGUGCAAGCACUCAACCACUGAGCUACAACCCCGACCCAAUGCUUUAACCUUUGUUUUGGUGGUUCACAUAUAUUUACAUUGUGAUACAGAAGUGAAAAAUGUCCUUACUAAUAGAGAGUAAACUAAUUUUUCAGGCAACAUUACCACUUCUGGCUGGCUUUCCAGGCUGUGAUAUCUUCUCAACUUUAUUCUACUUGGCAAUCACGACUGCUAACCAGGACCACGUUUCAUGAUCAGGUGUAACUGGUAGAUAUGCUCUUCUAGUUCAGGAGUAAGGGAUUCUAGGAGGUGAUUUUGUCUUGAGUAUCUGCAACUCUGGUGGGAUACCAAAGAGCCUUACCUUUAAACAGGCAGAAUCAAAGCUUUGGGAUUACUUUUUUUUUUUCCUCCUGACUUUUGAAAAACCCUUGUUGGUAAUAUUGGAGACAGGAAUUUCUUUAGAAAUUAAAUCUGUACAACAUGGGUAUUAAUUGUCUCCAUAGAAUAUUCGCCUAUCAUGGAAAUACUUGAGUAUGCAUUUUAGAUGAGGAAGAAUAGUACAAUUCAAGAGUCAUCCUAAUACGUGUGUCUGAUUCUCUUUCCUAAAUUGUUCACUUAUUUUUACUUCUGUGCUCAUUAUGAAGAGAGAUUUUUGUUUCUUCAUUCCUAACUCGAAGGCAUGAAGUAUAAUUUACUUUGGUGGGAUUCCACAGUAACAUGCUUUAGAGGACUCUGGA